UGAGGAAUAUUGCGCAAUGGGGGCAACCCUGACGCAGCAACGCCGCGUGAGUGAGGAAGGUUUUCGGACCGUAAAGCUCUGUCGAGCGGGAAGAAAUGCAUGGUGGCUAAUAUCCAUCAUGCUUGACGGUACCGCUAAAGGAAGCACCGGCUAACUCCGUGCCAGCAGCCGCGGUAAUACGGGGGGUGCGAGCGUUGUUCGGAAUUAUUGGGCGUAAAGAGCGUGUAGGCGGCCGAAUAAGUCAGAUGUGAAAUCCCUGGGCUUAACCCAGGACGUGCAUUUAAAACUAUUCGGCUGGAGUGGGGGAGAGGAAAGUGGAAUUCCUGGUGUAGAGGUGAAAUUCGUAGAUAUCAGGAGGAACACCGGUGGCGAAGGCGACUUUCUGGCCCUAUACUGACGCUGAGACGCGAGAGCGUGGGUAGCAAACAG
This 429-nucleotide ribosomal RNA is filed under the name uncultured bacterium. Its description in RNAcentral is "bacterial SSU rRNA". It matches the Rfam family "Bacterial small subunit ribosomal RNA", at positions 355 to 775 of the family's 1533-position model. The record is from RNAcentral.